RNAcentral lists this ribosomal RNA (507 nucleotides) under Saxicola ferreus. RNAcentral's name for it is "partial 16S ribosomal RNA". It matches the Rfam family "Bacterial large subunit ribosomal RNA", at positions 1854 to 2569 of the family's 2925-position model. Lineage: Eukaryota; Metazoa; Chordata; Aves; Passeriformes; Muscicapidae. The record is from RNAcentral.
GAUGCCUGCCCGGUGACCUGACGUUUAACGGCCGCGGUAUCCUAACCGUGCAAAGGUAGCGCAAUCAAUUGUCCCAUAAAUCGAGACUAGUAUGAAUGGCUAAACGAGGUCUUAACUGUCUCUUGCAGGCAAUCGGUGAAAUUGAUCUUCCUGUGCAAAAGCAGGAAUAAACCCAUAAGACGAGAAGACCCUGUGGAACUUUAAAAACAGCAGCCACCCCAAAUUACAUAACCCCCCACCGGGCUCACUUACACAUAAGCCACUGGCCUGCAUUUUUUCGGUUGGGGCGACCUUGGAGAAAAACAAAUCCUCCAAAAAUUAGACCUUACCUCUAGACCAAGAGCAACAUCUCAACGUGCUAAUAGCACCCAGACCCAAUAUAAUUGAUCAAUGGACCAAGCUACCCCAGGGAUAACAGCGCAAUCUCCUUUAAGAGUCCAUAUCGACAAGGAGGUUUACGACCUCGAUGUUGGAUCAGGACAUCCUAGUGGUGCAGAAGCUACUAAG